GCAUUUGAGAAGAGACGAAGGCAAGAGACUAUUGACGACGUUCUUACAGAAUAUGACGACUUUCUUGUAGUCGACGACCACGAUGUGUCGACAUCGGCUCGAAAUGUUUGUGCGUUUUACCUCAAAGGAAGUUAGUCUAAGAUAAAAGAUGUCAAAAUAUAUGUAGACAGCGAAACACAAACAUAUACAAUGAAGCGCAAUGUGAAAUGCCAAGCAGCCAUAACAAUCCGCUCGCAUAAACACGCAAGGUCAAGAACCACUCAAACAAAAGUGCCAAAUAUGAUAAGUAGAGGUACGGAGGUUGAGUUAAUUUCAACCACAAAUCACAGCACACAGACGACGUCAUAUGAAAUUGAACAUUUUGAGGAUAGCGCUGUAUGGUCUGAUACAGAAAGCACGUCGACGAUGAGCAAUAAAAUGUGUUAAGCGAAAAUGAAGAAUCCGACAAUGACAAUGCGACGGAAGAUGCUCAAAAUGAGAGAAAAUGCAUAGUUUUUGAUAGUUGCCUGAGACAGUGAGUCAAUGCCCAUGUUGUGGUGAAGGCUAUUCCAUUGUGACCAAAACGACUUGUAGUAUGGUUAACGUACUAGCAAAAUGUCAUUGUGGUUAUAUUCAAGACUGGAAUAGCCAACCUCUGCAUGGGCGAAUGCCUUUGGGUAACUUGGUCUUUGCUGCCAGCAUCUUCUUUAGUGGUAGUAGCACCAGCAAAGUUCUUCAAUUCCUUCGUCACUCAGGCAUACAAUUUCUGUCAGAGCGUACAUAUAGCUAUAUUCAAACAGAGUAUUUGAUACCCAGUGUUUCAAAUAUUUGACUUAUGCACCUAAAGCAUCUUCUAGAAUCAAUCAGAGAAAGGCACAUUAACCUUGGAGGACAUGGAAGAUGUGAUUCGCCUGGAUAUCGUGCCAAGUAUGGGUCAUAUAGCUGCAUGGAUUUGGAAUCUUACAACAUUUUAGACACACAACUUGUUCAGUCCAAUGAAGUGUCCAACUCUGGAGUAAUGGAACUUGAGCGAUUAAAAAGAUGUCUGGCAAAGUUUGAUGAAAGUGGGACGAAGGUGAAGUCAAUGACCACAAACAGAAAUGCUCAAAUCAAAUCCUACAUGUCAAAACAAAGACCAAAAAUCGAGCACUACUUUGAUGUAUGGCAUGUAGCAAAAGGAAUCAACAUGAAAAUUUUGGCAGCAUCAAAAAAAAAGUGGUUGCAAAUUAUUGUCAGAUUGGGCCCAAUCAAUUUCCAACCAUGUAUACUGGUGUACUGCUUCCAGCAAUGGGGAUGAAGAACUUGUCAAGGCAAAGUGGUUGUCAGUUCUCAACCAUAUAGGUGACAUCCAUGAGGGACAUAGUGAUGUAUUCCCAAAAUGUGAACAUGAUAUGUUAGAGCCUAGAAUGUGGAUAAAAAAAGGUUCAAAAGCUUAUGUUGAGCUGUCUUCGAUUGUUGAGUCCAAGUAUCUCAUGAAAGAUAUUGGAAAACUCAGUUAUCAGAAGCAGACUUCAUUCAUCGAAGGUUUCCACCAAGUGGUGAUUCUUUCUGCACCAAAACAUACCCAUUUUUUCUACAGAUCAAUGGAAGCAAGAUUGUUUAUUGCCGCUCUUCAUUUCAAUGAGAAUGGAAACAACGUUCAGAAAACGAAGAAUGGUGGGCAAACAGAAGAGGCAUCGAUUAGGAGAGUGGCUUAUUCAAAGUCAAAGGAAGGACAAGGGGUCAUCAAACCAGUGAAAGUUGAUAGCACUUAUGGAUAUGUUAAGGACUUGAUGAAAGAACUUUUGUACUACUGCAGACGCAUUAAUCCAACACUGUCCAAAGCUCUUUAUGUCGCU
Xenia sp. Carnegie-2017 is the source of this 1817-nucleotide RNA transcript. RefSeq lists it as uncharacterized. The transcript is spliced from 10 exons. Lineage: Eukaryota; Metazoa; Cnidaria; Anthozoa; Malacalcyonacea; Xeniidae. The record is from RefSeq and is a predicted model, not a curated record.